UUCCGUAGGUGAACCUGCGGAAGGAUCAUUAACAAAAAUAUUUA
Molecule: ribosomal RNA, 44 nt
Filed under: Metschnikowia hawaiiana
Lineage: Eukaryota; Fungi; Ascomycota; Pichiomycetes; Serinales; Metschnikowiaceae
Description: [Candida] hawaiiana partial 18S ribosomal RNA
Source: RNAcentral